Molecule: long non-coding RNA, 983 nt
Filed under: Helianthus annuus (common sunflower)
Lineage: Eukaryota; Viridiplantae; Streptophyta; Magnoliopsida; Asterales; Asteraceae
Description: hypothetical non coding rna
Source: RNAcentral
UUCACGCUCCAAUAACCAAACAAACCCUAAAUUUCCUAAUUCAGUCGCCGCUCAUUUUCAUCAUCAUCGGUGGCCAUCUUUCAUCAUCAUCGGCGGCCAUCUUUCAUCAUCACCGGUGAGCGGCAGCCAUCGUUCAUCACUUCACGUCUAUUCCAGCCGUCUUUCAUCAUCACCGGCGUCGUUCUACCAUUUGAUGUUGUCGUAAUAAACACUCAAAAAAUGGCUAGAAUUUAAGGAUGUGUUUAGUGACGGCAUCAGAUUCCUAAUUGAUGGAGAAAAGUCUGGUGGCAAGAAAAGAUGCUUCCAGGAGGUUGUCAAGUGUUUUCGCUCGACGAUUCCAUUCUUGGGUGGUUGGUUUGACCCUUGUUCCUGUAACUCGAAUCCUAGCCCGGUAUAUCCCAUUUUAGUUUUACACCAUUGUGAACCUUACGCUUUUUUUACUCUCUGAUCGAGGUUCUCGGCAUUGAAAAAUCUUCAUAAACUAAAUCACACAUUUUCGUAACAUUUCGUGUCUUAACGGGUCAUUUCGUGUAACCUGUUUAUUAACAGGUUCGUGUUCGUGUUUGGAAAUCUGACCCGAUAAGAUUUCGUGUCGUGUUCGUGUUUACAGGUUUCGUGUUCGUGUCUUAUCGUGUUCAUGUCUUAACAGAUCGGGUUGACCUGAUAUGCCAGCCCUACCGGUGUUAUUUUGACAAUAUCAAUUCGUUUCUCAAGGUAAAUAAUAAAAUAAUCAACUAUAUUUGACCCUUAACAGUAUAUUCAAAAGUUAUAAGACGUUAAAGUAUAUUACUAAAAUAACGAAAAGGGUAGACACGUCAUUUUAUAAAAGAAAUAAAAUAAACCGUGAUGUAACUUUGAUGACAUGUAAGCUUGUUCUUCAAUCACUUGUAUGUUAUUAUUCACAACUCGAUUUUGAGUAACAUGAUCUAUAUUUAGAUAAAAAUAAGCAGGUCAUAAUGAUUAAAAUUUUUAUAAAAAAAAUC